Molecule: ribosomal RNA, 484 nt
Filed under: uncultured bacterium
Lineage: Bacteria
Description: partial 16S ribosomal RNA
Rfam family: Bacterial small subunit ribosomal RNA
Source: RNAcentral
AUUGAACGCUGGCGGCAUGCCUUACACAUGCAAGUCGAACGGCAGCACGGGAGCAAUCCUGGUGGCGAGUGGCGAACGGGUGAGUAAUACAUCGGAACGUGCCCAAUCGCGGGGGAUAACGCAGCGAAAGCUGUGCUAAUACCGCAUACGAUCUACGGACGAAAGCAGGGGACCGCAAGGCCUUGCGCGAAUGGAGCGGCCGAUGGCAGAUUAGGUAGUUGGUGGGGUAAAGGCUCACCAAGCCAACGAUCCGUAGCUGGUCUGAAAGGACGACCAGCCACACUGGGAGUGAGACACGGCCCAGACUCCUACGGGAGGCAGCAGUGGGGAAUUUUAGGCAAUGGGCGCAAGCCUGAUCCAGCCAUGCCGCGUGCAGGAUGAAGGCCUUCGGGUUGUAAACUGCUUUUGUACGGAGCGAAACGGCCUUUUCUAAUAAGGAGGGCUAAUGACGGUACAGUAAGAAUAAGCACCGGCUAACUACGUG